RNAcentral lists this ribosomal RNA (450 nucleotides) under uncultured bacterium. RNAcentral describes it as "partial 16S ribosomal RNA". It matches the Rfam family "Bacterial small subunit ribosomal RNA", at positions 354 to 796 of the family's 1533-position model. The record is from RNAcentral.
GUGGGGAAUAUUGGACAAUGGGCGAAAGCCUGAUCCAGCCAUGCCGCGUGUGUGAAGAAGGUCUUCGGAUUGUAAAGCACUUUAAGUUGGGAGGAAGGGCAGUAAGUUAAUACCUUGCUGUUUUGACGUUACCGACAGAAUAAGCACCGGCUAACUUCGUGCCAGCAGCCGCGGUAAUACGAAGGGUGCAAGCGUUAAUCGGAAUUACUGGGCGUAAAGCGCGCGUAGGUGGUUUUGUAAGUUGGAGGUGAAAUCCCCGGGCUCAACCUGGGAACUGCCUCCAAAACUGCAUGACUAGAGUACGGUAGAGGGUAGUGGAAUUACCUGUGUAGCGGUGAAAUGCGUAGAUAUAGGAAGGAACACCAGUGGCGAAGGCGACUACCUGGACUGAUACUGACACUGAGGUGCGAAAGCGUGGGGAGCAAACAGGAUUAGAUACCCGUGUAGUCC